GUGGGCGGUAACGGCCCACCUAACCGACGAUGCGUAGGGGUUCUGAGAGGAAGGUCCCCCACACUGGUACUGAGACACGGACCAGACUCCUACGGAAGGCAGCAG
RNAcentral lists this ribosomal RNA (105 nucleotides) under uncultured bacterium. RNAcentral's name for it is "partial 16S ribosomal RNA". It matches the Rfam family "Bacterial small subunit ribosomal RNA", at positions 252 to 354 of the family's 1533-position model. The record is from RNAcentral.